AUCUAUGGCCAUGCUACCCUAAACAAAUCCGAUCCCAUCUGAUCUCGGAAGCUAAGCACAGUAGGGCCUGCUUAGUACUUGGAUGGGAGACCACCUAGGAAGACCAGAUGCUGUAGGCA
This 119-nucleotide ribosomal RNA is filed under the name Pteropus alecto (black flying fox). The record is from RNAcentral. Lineage: Eukaryota; Metazoa; Chordata; Mammalia; Chiroptera; Pteropodidae.